CCUACGGGUGGCAGCAGUGGGGGAUAUUGGACAAUGGGGGAAACCCUGAUCCAGCGACGCCGCGUGAGUGAAGAAGUAUUUCGGUAUGUAAAGCCCUGUCAGCAGGGAAGAAAGAAAUGACGGUACCUGACCAAGAAGCCCCGGCUAACUACGUGCCAGCAGCCGCGGUAAUACGUAGGGGGCAAGCGUUAUCCGGAAUUACUGGGGGUAAGGGGAGCGUAGACGGUGAUGCAAGUCUGGAGUGAAAGGCGGGGGCCCAACCCCCGGACUGCUCUGGAAACUGUGUAACUUGGGUGCAGGAGAGGUAAGCGGAAUUCCUGGUGUAGCGGUGAAAUGCGUAGAUAUUAGGAGGAACACCAGUGGCGAAGGCGGCUUACUGGACUGUAACUGACGUUGAGGCUCGAAAGCGUGGGGAGCAAACAGGAUUAGAUACCCGGGUAGUC
RNAcentral lists this ribosomal RNA (443 nucleotides) under uncultured bacterium. Its description in RNAcentral is "partial 16S ribosomal RNA". It matches the Rfam family "Bacterial small subunit ribosomal RNA", at positions 338 to 795 of the family's 1533-position model. The record is from RNAcentral.